Drosophila obscura is the source of this 487-nucleotide long non-coding RNA. RefSeq lists it as uncharacterized. The transcript is spliced from 3 exons. NCBI's taxonomy places the organism in Eukaryota, Metazoa, Arthropoda, Insecta, Diptera, Drosophilidae. The record is from RefSeq and is a predicted model, not a curated record.
CUGUUCUCUGAAUGUUGACUUUUAGUGAUGUCCUUUUGUCGUAGUGUCCUUGGGCCUUUUUUGGUAUCCAAGUGGCAUAGAAGGGGAUUUCCGCAUAAAAGUCUUGCAAGAAAGUUUCCACGUUUUGAGUAGAUCGAUUUGUGAUCAAAUAUUAUUUAGAUUGGUUUUUAAAAGUGUGUCCUUGGAUCUUGUUGCGCCUUUGGGGCAUUCCCAUGGGCAUCGAAAAUACACACGGGAUGCGUUUCUGGCCGUUAGCAGCAGUCGACAAGGCAAAGCAAAUCCAUCCACAGAGAAGAAACAGACCAAAGGAGAAAGAUGGAACUCGUUCGGGGAUAUUAGAGGUGCUAUAGCAGAAUGCGCAAUGCGGCUAAUAUGGCUUAAUAUAUAAAAAUUAAACUUUAAAUGUUCUCUUUUUAACUUAUAUAAUGUUAUUGUCCUUUUUGUCCGGACACGUCCUGAUGGGUCGAGAAAUUCUCGAAAUUACAUU